Molecule: long non-coding RNA, 3760 nt
Organism: Sebastes umbrosus (honeycomb rockfish)
Lineage: Eukaryota; Metazoa; Chordata; Actinopteri; Perciformes; Sebastidae
Exons: 2
Source: RefSeq, a predicted model, not a curated record
UCUCUUCGUUUACUACUUUCAUAUGCUUAUCUAAAUUCACCAUAUAAUUCUGCAACUCCUAUUAUCCCCGUUUGCGUAUUGUUUAUAACUUCUCCUUUUUGACCACAAACCACAAUCAGCUUUCCUCAGUAUUACAAAGGCAGCUCAUAUCUCUGUCUAACAACACUAACCACUUCCUCCCUGGCACAGGCCACACUAACCCCACACUUGAACUUCCAUAUGGUACAUUUGUACAUCACACUACUUCCACAUCCACUCCUGUCAUUGGAGCCUUUUUUACAGCCUGAAGGCUCUGCUUGUGAGCUUGAUUGUUUCUCAGAGUACACACAUUGUUUUGGAAGGGAAGCUGGGAAAUGGGUGAUUAAUCCGCUGCAUCUGUUGUCAUGAGAACCUUUGGACAGGAACGGGCCCUCGUGGUCUGACCCGCCAUGGGUAAACAGAGGUGUGUGAGCUAGCCUGUGGGGCACGCUCACAUGCACUAAAAGCAUGCACAGCCGGCUUGGCGAUGUAAACAAAGCAAGGAGAAUCUUGGAUUAUAACACACACAGAGGGAGAGCGACUUCAUUCUCUGCUCAGUCACUAGGUUGAAAAGUCGCCCAUACUGCCUCCAUUCGCCUCGCUGCAGCCCCGGCCCCCCCUCAGCCGUGACGGCCAGCUGACAUGUUGUGACAUGGUGCUGGAACGCCGGGAGGUUCCAGACCCCGGGCACAGCCGGACUCUCUUUCUCUUUCUAGCUUUGUUUUUGUUUUCUUGGUGCGUGUGCAGUACCAGAUCAGGAUCAGACUUCUGGAUCUAUGGCCACAACACAGGAGGGGCAGUUGUUUAUCAUGAGUGAAUUUUCAUUUCUGGUUUUGUAUGUAUUGUUCCCCACUCUAAAACAAUCAUUCUAUUGUCUGCCUAUCGGAGAUUAGAUAGCAAAAUACUUAUCUAUAUCAGGGUUUUACUGAUAUAGAUAACCAAUAUCCAUUCAAAAUAUCUUGUUAGGCUCAUUCUUUUGCAAUUUUAGUAUACAAUAUACAAACUAAAUUGGAAAUGCAGAUUUAUUUGUUUAUUGAUAAUCCCUUCAUACUCAGGAUUUUUUGGGAGCAACCCAUAUAUACUACACAUAAUGUCAAAUUAAUCUGUAUUUUAAGCAAUAACUUCAGGGUUUUUUUUAUAUGUAAAGACUGAAAAGUAAAUGAAAGGGAAUUAAUGGUUCCACAUUCAGUAAAACGUUACCCCUGCCUACAGAUGACUGACCUACUGAUUUCACUCAGAAGCUGCCAGCAGAGCGAUCAUUUGAUUUUAAGGGAAGAUGACUCAUCCAAUAUCAUUGAGCAGUUAAAAUGCGGGAGAUGAGGUCAAGGUCAUAAUCAAUGGGGUGUUUUAUUUUCUCAGAGUAACAUAGUUUUUUAUUUUCCAGAAGAAAAAAGGCUUGUCAUUUGUUUUUACUAUUGUUGACGUCAGGGACUAAAAGUCACUGAGGUGUGAAUUUAAAAAGGGCCAAUCUUUGAUGGUUACUAUCUGUGUUAGGCCUCAUUAAAUACUGCUAAGAAAGUUGGUGACAAUAAAAAGGGCUUUGCUUAAGCUCUAGAACAUUCCCAGACGAUGCUUAAUGAGAAAGUACUUAAAUGAUACCAAUGUCUCAGUCAGUCAAACUUAAAAUAAUGCAAUAAAUGAAGAAGAGAGCUCUUUUGAUUAGCAUGACGUGAAGAUCAGACGUUUCCAUAAAUAUUUCACGGUGCAAGUCAAAUGUCCUUUCUUGGUUUGGAUUGAAGAAAGUGGCUUUAAUCUGUCUUUGGUCUUCCUCUUUGGUACUCGUGGCGUUAGUUUACAGUAGGUCAAAAUAUCAGAAUACUAACAGGCUGAUUGGAUGGUUAGUCUGAGCCUUACAUAUUUGCCCACGGGUGUCUUUCAUUGAUAUUCACUGGGGCGGCCUUGUCCGAGUGUAUUAAGGAACUGACAAAGCAGAUCCCAUCACGUCAGCCAGCAGCCCGGUCAGAUAAACAUUGUUGUGUCAAAAAAGAAAAAAUGUCAGUCCCUUCAGACCCUACCUUUUCCAGCACCCUUGUAAUUUUUAAUUGACAUUUACUGCUGACAUUUGAAAAUGUGCCUCAUCUUUCUCUUAUUGUUAGACCUUACGUAUUAUCGUCUGAGUGCGUGCGUACGUGUGCAUGUUUGUGUGUGCCAGCAGUCAAUUUGGGGUCAGAGCUUUGUAGUCGCAAAAAACAUAAACCAUUGGAGAAAUCGGGUACAAGAGAGUGAUGGGGUGACAUCAUCCUGCUUUCACUUCUCAUUAGUUGAUUUCAGUUUAUGAGACGGGAGCCUGAAGGGCUGAUGUUUAGGGUGUUUGUCCAUUCCUUCAUUCCUCAAACUCAGAUUUCAGUGCUUGACUCCAAACCUUUGGGUUUUUCUUUCUGACUGCCCUUGGAAUCGCACAGCAGUGUUUGUAAUUACUUCAUUGCCCCUGAUUGACAUUUCCAGUGAUUUGCUUAUUUUUCAUGAAUUCCCUCUUUGCUUUAACUGAGCUGCUUCACCCAUCGCUUGUGUUAAUUGUUCUCGGUUUUGCCCUCAAGCAUUGCAGAGUGAGCUAUGGGGACAUGUUUUUGUAGACGGAAAAGAAAAAACAUAACUAAUUUUCCCUCCAAAGCCCUCACCAACUGCAUUUAUCAUCCAAACAAUAGUCUUGCCAACACACUAACCCCAUAAUGAACCCCUCUUCAGUGGAGUGAGGGGUAAUGACGCUUCACCUACAAUGCUCCCAAGAAAAAAAAAAGAUAAAAAAAAGGGAGGGAAAAAAAAUGGAGAGAAAAACGGUCUUCUUGCAGAAUCAAACGGCGUGUUCAGGCCCAGUGCCUGGAUGAGAUGGCGAAGCAGCAGCUAUUGGUGUCUCCCAGCCAUCAAUCUUAGCUGGUGGCGUUCCAGCGCCAGCGAGCCCUCUGCUCUGACGGAUGUUCAGAUAAUUGAGUUAUCCAUCUCGCCCAACUAUCAGAGUUGCAUAAAAAUUAUUCACCUGCUGGUGAAUAUUAAACACAUAAUGAGCCUCUUGUGUGCUUUAGGAGAAGUGGGUAAGGUUAAACACAGCAUGUAAUGAAAUAUGGACCCUCGUGUGGUGCCACCUUAACUGCCCCUCCUUGAUUAUGGCGUACUUAAAUCAAUUACGGUUGGCAAAGUUCCUUCCAUAACUCUCCGAGCAGCAACUGAAGUUCAGUUUAGCUCAUCAGAUAAUUAAUCCUGAAUACAUUCGGAUAAUAACAUAUAUUUGCUGGCUUCCUGAAUAUUUGUGCACUUGGAUGAUUGUUGUUUUUGUAUUUUUGACCAUGCUACUGUGGUCCCUGUGAGGUUUAGUUAAUAUUGGGGUGGGAGAAAAAAACGAUACAGCAUAGUAUCACGAUAUUUUGCGUGGUAAUAUUGUAUCAAUACACGGACGUCAAAUAUUGAUCUUUUAUUAUAUAAACUAUUAACCUCUUAACAAUCCAACGGCAGGCCUGGCUGCUAUUCUGUCAGUUUUAAAGCUAGGUAAGUGAAGCUACUGGUAUUAUAUCAAAGUAGAAAACCCAAAUCGAUUGGUACCAACCAUGUCAUGUUAGCUUGUCGGGAAGAACACUAAAUAACGCUUCAAAAUUAUGCACAAUUUUGGCAAAACUGGCAUGGCCAUUUUCAAAGGGGUCCCUUGACCUCUGACCUCAAGAUAUGUGAAUGGAAAUUCUGAGAUAAACUGAGUGAAAACUGUUUCUUAUUAGAUAAAAACAGAUGUUGACAAACUGCAUAAUUUACAGUU